AACGAACGCUGGCGGCAGGCCUAACACAUGCAAGUCGAGCGAAGCCUUCGGGUUUAGCGGCGGACGGGUGAGUAGCGCGUGGGAAUAUGCCCUUUGGUACGGAACAGUCCCGGGAAACUGGGUUUAAUACCGUAUGUGGUCCUUCGUAGUGGAUACGGGGGACGAAAGAUUUAUCGCCAAAGGAUUAGCCCGCGUUGGAUUAGGUAGUUGGUGGGUAACGGCCUACCAAGCCGACGAUCCAUAGCUGGUUUGAGAGGAUGAUCAGCCACACUGGGACUGAGACACGGCCCAGACUCCUACGGGAGGCAGCAGUGGGGAAUCUUAGACAAUGGGGGCAACCCUGAUCUAGCCAUGCCGCGUGAGUGAUGAAGGCCUUAGGGUUGUAAAGCUCUUUCAGCUGGGAAGAUAAUGACGGUACCAGCAGAAGAAGCCCCGGCUAACUCCGUG
This 447-nucleotide ribosomal RNA is filed under the name uncultured bacterium. RNAcentral's name for it is "bacterial SSU rRNA". It matches the Rfam family "Bacterial small subunit ribosomal RNA", at positions 29 to 507 of the family's 1533-position model. The record is from RNAcentral.